GGGUUGUGAGGUUAAGCGACUAAGCGUACACGGUGGAUGCCCUGGCAGUCAGAGGCGAUGAAGGACGUGCUAAUCUGCGAUAAGCGUCGGUAAGGUGAUAUGAACCGUUAUAACCGGCGAUUUCCGAAUGGGGAAACCCAGUGUGUUUCGACACACUAUCAUUAACUGAAUCCAUAGGUUAAUGAGGCGAACCGGGGGAACUGAAACAUCUAAGUACCCCGAGGAAAAGAAAUCAACCGAGAUUCCCCCAGUAGCGGCGAGCGAACGGGGAGGAGCCCAGAGCCUGAAUCAGUGUGUGUGUUAGUGGAAGCGUCUGGAAAGGCGCGCGAUACAGGGUGACAGCCCCGUACACAAAAAUGCACAUGCUGUGAGCUCGAUGAGUAGGGCGGGACACGUGGUAUCCUGUCUGAAUAUGGGGGGACCAUCCUCCAAGGCUAAAUACUCCUGACUGACCGAUAGUGAACCAGUACCGUGAGGGAAAGGCGAAAAGAACCCCGGCGAGGGGAGUGAAAAAGAACCUGAAACCGUGUACGUACAAGCAGUGGGAGCACGCUUAGGCGUGUGACUGCGUACCUUUUGUAUAAUGGGUCAGCGACUUAUAUUCUGUAGCAAGGUUAACCGAAUAGGGGAGCCGAAGGGAAACCGAGUCUUAACUGGGCGUUAAGUUGCAGGGUAUAGACCCGAAACCCGGUGAUCUAGCCAUGGGCAGGUUGAAGGUUGGGUAACACUAACUGGAGGACCGAACCGACUAAUGUUGAAAAAUUAGCGGAUGACUUGUGGCUGGGGGUGAAAGGCCAAUCAAACCGGGAGAUAGCUGGUUCUCCCCGAAAGCUAUUUAGGUAGCGCCUCGUGAAUUCAUCUCCGGGGGUAGAGCACUGUUUCGGCAAGGGGGUCAUCCCGACUUACCAACCCGAUGCAAACUGCGAAUACCGGAGAAUGUUAUCACGGGAGACACACGGCGGGUGCUAACGUCCGUCGUGAAGAGGGAAACAACCCAGACCGCCAGCUAAGGUCCCAAAGUCAUGGUUAAGUGGGAAACGAUGUGGGAAGGCCCAGACAGCCAGGAUGUUGGCUUAGAAGCAGCCAUCAUUUAAAGAAAGCGUAAUAGCUCACUGGUCGAGUCGGCCUGCGCGGAAGAUGUAACGGGGCUAAACCAUGCACCGAAGCUGCGGCAGCGACGCUUAUGCGUUGUUGGGUAGGGGAGCGUUCUGUAAGCCUGUGAAGGUGUACUGUGAGGUAUGCUGGAGGUAUCAGAAGUGCGAAUGCUGACAUAAGUAACGAUAAAGCGGGUGAAAAGCCCGCUCGCCGGAAGACCAAGGGUUCCUGUCCAACGUUAAUCGGGGCAGGGUGAGUCGACCCCUAAGGCGAGGCCGAAAGGCGUAGUCGAUGGGAAACAGGUUAAUAUUCCUGUACUUGGUGUUACUGCGAAGGGGGGACGGAGAAGGCUAUGUUGGCCGGGCGACGGUUGUCCCGGUUUAAGCGUGUAGGCUGGUUUUCCAGGCAAAUCCGGAAAAUCAAGGCUGAGGCGUGAUGACGAGGCACUACGGUGCUGAAGCAACAAAUGCCCUGCUUCCAGGAAAAGCCUCUAAGCAUCAGGUAACAUCAAAUCGUACCCCAAACCGACACAGGUGGUCAGGUAGAGAAUACCAAGGCGCUUGAGAGAACUCGGGUGAAGGAACUAGGCAAAAUGGUGCCGUAACUUCGGGAGAAGGCACGCUGAUAUGUAGGUGAGGUCCCUCGCGGAUGGAGCUGAAAUCAGUCGAAGAUACCAGCUGGCUGCAACUGUUUAUUAAAAACACAGCACUGUGCAAACACGAAAGUGGACGUAUACGGUGUGACGCCUGCCCGGUGCCGGAAGGUUAAUUGAUGGGGUUAGCGGUAACGCGAAGCUCUUGAUCGAAGCCCCGGUAAACGGCGGCCGUAACUAUAACGGUCCUAAGGUAGCGAAAUUCCUUGUCGGGUAAGUUCCGACCUGCACGAAUGGCGUAAUGAUGGCCAGGCUGUCUCCACCCGAGACUCAGUGAAAUUGAACUCGCUGUGAAGAUGCAGUGUACCCGCGGCAAGACGGAAAGACCCCGUGAACCUUUACUAUAGCUUGACACUGAACAUUGAGCCUUGAUGUGUAGGAUAGGUGGGAGGCUUUGAAGUGUGGACGCCAGUCUGCAUGGAGCCGACCUUGAAAUACCACCCUUUAAUGUUUGAUGUUCUAACGUUGACCCGUGAUCCGGGUUGCGGACAGUGUCUGGUGGGUAGUUUGACUGGGGCGGUCUCCUCCUAAAGAGUAACGGAGGAGCACGAAGGUUGGCUAAUCCUGGUCGGACAUCAGGAGGUUAGUGCAAUGGCAUAAGCCAGCUUAACUGCGAGCGUGACGGCGCGAGCAGGUGCGAAAGCAGGUCAUAGUGAUCCGGUGGUUCUGAAUGGAAGGGCCAUCGCUCAACGGAUAAAAGGUACUCCGGGGAUAACAGGCUGAUACCGCCCAAGAGUUCAUAUCGACGGCGGUGUUUGGCACCUCGAUGUCGGCUCAUCACAUCCUGGGGCUGAAGUAGGUCCCAAGGGUAUGGCUGUUCGCCAUUUAAAGUGGUACGCGAGCUGGGUUUAGAACGUCGUGAGACAGUUCGGUCCCUAUCUGCCGUGGGCGCUGGAGAACUGAGGGGGGCUGCUCCUAGUACGAGAGGACCGGAGUGGACGCAUCACUGGUGUUCGGGUUGUCAUGCCAAUGGCACUGCCCGGUAGCUAAAUGCGGAAGAGAUAAGUGCUGAAAGCAUCUAAGCACGAAACUUGCCCCGAGAUGAGUUCUCCCUGACUCCUUGAGAGUCCUGAAGGAACGUUGAAGACGACGACGUUGAUAGGCCGGGUGUGUAAGCGCAGCGAUGCGUUGAGCUAACCGGUACUAAUGAACCGUGAGGCUUAACCUUACAACGCCGAAGGUGUUU
RNAcentral lists this ribosomal RNA (2933 nucleotides) under Escherichia coli. RNAcentral's name for it is "bacterial LSU rRNA". It matches the Rfam family "Bacterial large subunit ribosomal RNA". The record is from RNAcentral. Lineage: Bacteria; Pseudomonadati; Pseudomonadota; Gammaproteobacteria; Enterobacterales; Enterobacteriaceae.